GAUGAACGCUGGCGGCGUGCCUAAUACAUGCAAGUCGAGCGAACAGACGAGGAGCUUGCUCCUCUGACGUUAGCGGCGGACGGGUGAGUAACACGUGGAUAACCUACCUAUAAGACUGGGAUAACUUCGGGAAACCGGAGCUAAUACCGGAUAAUAUAUUGAACCGCAUGGUUCAAUAGUGAAAGACGGUUUUGCUGUCACUUAUAGAUGGAUCCGCGCCGCAUUAGCUAGUUGGUAAGGUAACGGCUUACCAAGGCAACGAUGCGUAGCCGACCUGAGAGGGGGAUCGGCCACACUGGAACGUGGACACGGUCCAGACGCCUACGGGAGGCAGCAGUAGGGAAUCUUCCGCAAUGGGCGAAAGCCUGACGGAGCAACGCCGCGUGAGUGAUGAAGGUCUUCGGAUCGUAAAACUCUGUUAUUAGGGAAGAACAAAUGUGUAAGUAACUAUGCACGUCUUGACGGUACCUAAUCAGAAAGCCACGGCUAACUACGUG
This 497-nucleotide ribosomal RNA is filed under the name uncultured bacterium. Its description in RNAcentral is "partial 16S ribosomal RNA". It matches the Rfam family "Bacterial small subunit ribosomal RNA", at positions 28 to 507 of the family's 1533-position model. The record is from RNAcentral.